GACGGAGGAUGCAAGCGUUAUCCGGAAUGAUUGGGCGUAAAGCGUCCGCAGGUGGCAGUUCAAGUCUGCUGUCAAAGACCGGGGCUUAACUUCGGAAAGGCAGUGGAAACUGAACAGCUAGAGCAUGGUAGGGGCAGAGGGAAUUCCUGGUGUAGCGGUGAAAUGCGUAGAGAUCAGGAAGAACAUCGGUGGCGAAGGCGCUCUGCUGGACCAUAACUGACACUCAGGGACGAAAGCUAGGGGAGCGAAUGGG
Molecule: ribosomal RNA, 253 nt
Filed under: uncultured bacterium
Lineage: Bacteria
Description: partial 16S ribosomal RNA
Rfam family: Bacterial small subunit ribosomal RNA
Source: RNAcentral